GACGAACGCUGGCGGCGUGCUUAACACAUGCAAGUCGAACGGAAAGGCGCUGCUUUUGUGGGGUGCUCGAGUGGCGAACGGGUGAGUAACACGUGAGUAACAUGCCCUUGAAUUUGGGAUAACUUCAGGAAACUGGGGCUAAUAUCGGAUAGGAGCUCCUGCUGCACGGUGGGGGUUGGAAAGUUUCGGCGGUUGGGGAUGGACUCGCGGCUUAUCAGCUUGUUGGUGGGGUAGUGGCUUACCAAGGCUUUGACGGGUAGCCGGCCUGGGAGGGUGACCGGCCACAUUGGGACUGAGAUACGGCCCAGACUCCUACGGGAGGCAGCAGUGGGGAAUAUUGCACAAUGGCCGGAAGCCUGAUGCAGCAACGCCGCGUGCGGGAUGACGGCCUUCGGGUUGUAAACCGCUUUCGCCUGUGACGAAGCGUGAGUGACGGUAAUGGGUAAAGAAGCACCGGCUAACUACGUG
Molecule: ribosomal RNA, 468 nt
Filed under: uncultured bacterium
Lineage: Bacteria
Description: partial 16S ribosomal RNA
Rfam family: Bacterial small subunit ribosomal RNA
Source: RNAcentral